This 594-nucleotide small RNA is filed under the name Pan troglodytes (chimpanzee). RNAcentral describes it as "retained intron". The record is from RNAcentral. Lineage: Eukaryota; Metazoa; Chordata; Mammalia; Primates; Hominidae.
CUCGAAACCUCCCCAAGUCGGGUCGGGGCUCCGCGGGACCGGCCGGCUCCAUCCCACAGAACGAGUCCCUGGAGAGGCAGAUGCGCGAGCAGGAGGAGCGCCACGUGCGGGAGGCGGCCAGUUAUCAGGAGGCGCUGGCGCGGCUGGAGGAAGAGGGGCAGAGCCUCAAGGACGAGAUGGCCCGCCACUUGCAGGAGUACCAGGACCUGCUCAAUGUCAAGCUGGCCCUGGACAUCGAGAUCGCCACCUACAGGAAGCUGCUAGAGGGCGAGGAGAACCGGAUCACCAUUCCCGUGCAGACCUUCUCCAACCUGCAGAUUCGAGAAACCAGCCUGGACACCAAGUCUGUGUCAGAAGGCCACCUCAAGAGGAACAUCGUGGUGAAGACCGUGGAGAUGCGGGAUGGAGAGGUCAUUAAGGAGUCCAAGCAGGAGCACAAGGAUGUGAUGUGAGGCAGGACCCACCUGGUGGCCUCUGCCCCGUCUCAUGAGGGGCCCGAGCAGAAGCAAGAUAGUUGCUCCGCCUCUGCUGGCACAUUUCCCCAGACCUGAGCUCCCCACCACCCCAGCUGCUCCCCUCCCUCCUCUGUCCCUA